ACUGGCAUUGCCUCAGUACGGCGAGUGAAGCGGCAAAAGCUCAAAUUUGAAAUCUGGCACCUUCGGUGUCCGAGUUGUAAUUUGAAGAAGGUAACUUUGGAGUUGGCUCUUGUCUAUGUUCCUUGGAACAGGACGUCACAGAGGGUGAGAAUCCCGUGCGAUGAGAUGCCCAAUUCUAUGUAAAGUGCUUUCGAAGAGUCGAGUUGUUUGGGAAUGCAGCUCUAAGUGGGUGGUAAAUUCCAUCUAAAGCUAAAUAUUGGCGAGAGACCGAUAGCGAACAAGUACAGUGAUGGAAAGAUGAAAAGAACUUUGAAAAGAGAGUGAAAAAGUACGUGAAAUUGUUGAAAGGGAAGGGCUUGAGAUCAGACUUGGUAUUUUGCAAGCCUUACCUUCGUGGUGGGGUCCCCUGCAGUUUACUGGGCCAGCAUCGGUUUGGAUGGUAGGAUAAUGACUUGGGAAUGUGACUUUGCUUCGGUAAAGUGUUAUAGCCCUUGUUGAUACUGCCUGUCUAGACCGAGGACUGCGUCUUUGACUAGGAUGCUGGCAUAAUGAUCUUAAGUCGCCCGUCUUGAAAMMMMGRAAMCA
RNAcentral lists this ribosomal RNA (585 nucleotides) under Schwanniomyces polymorphus. RNAcentral describes it as "partial large subunit ribosomal RNA". It matches the Rfam family "Eukaryotic large subunit ribosomal RNA", at positions 68 to 664 of the family's 3401-position model. Lineage: Eukaryota; Fungi; Ascomycota; Pichiomycetes; Serinales; Debaryomycetaceae. The record is from RNAcentral.